Molecule: ribosomal RNA, 512 nt
Filed under: uncultured bacterium
Lineage: Bacteria
Description: bacterial SSU rRNA
Rfam family: Bacterial small subunit ribosomal RNA
Source: RNAcentral
GAUCCUGGCUCAGGAUGAACGCUAGCUACAGGCUUAACACAUGCAAGUCGAGGGGCAGCAUUGGGGUAGCAAUACCGUGGUGGCGACCGGCGCACGGGUGCGUAACGCGUAUGCAACCUGCCCCCAUCAGGGGAAUAGCCCGCCGAAAGGCGGAUUAAUGCCCCAUAGGCCCAGGGCGCCGCAUGGCGCUAUGGGUAAAGCUCCGGCGGAUGGGGAUGGGCAUGCGUGCCAUUAGCUAGUUGGGGCGGUAACGGCGCACCAAGGCGACGAUGGCUAGGGGGUCUGAGAGGAUGGUCCCCCACACUGGUACUGAGACACGGACCAGACUCCUACGGGAGGCAGCAGUGAGGAAUAUUGGUCAAUGGGCGGAAGCCUGAACCAGCCAUUGCCGCGUGCAGGAUGACGGCCCUACGGGUUGUAAACUGCUUUUCCCCGGGAAGAAUAAGCCCCUCGUGAGGGGUGAUGCCGGUACCGGGGGAAUAAGGAUCGGCUAACUCCGUGCCAGCAGCGGC